GAUGAACGCUGGCGGCGCGCCUAACACAUGCAAGUCGAACGAUUGAACCACCAUCGGGUGCGUAUACGGUGGCGAACGGCUGAGUAACACGUGGGCAAACUGCCCCUUUCAUUGUGAUAGCCACGGGAAAACGUGGACAUAACCGAAUACUUCAAAACUUCCGCAUGGAAGACCCGAGAAAGCUCGGGCGGAGAGGGAUUGGCCCGCGGCCUGUUAGCUUGUUGGGGCGGUAACGGCAUACCAAGGCAAUGAGGGGAAGCUGGGCUGAGAAGCCGACCAGCCAGAUUGGGACUGAGACGCGGCACGGACUCCUACGGGUGGCAGCAGUGCGGAAUCUUGCACCAUGGGCGAAACCCUGAUGCAGCGACGCCGCGUGCGGUAUGGCGGUCUUCGGGUUGUAAACAGGUUUCAGCAGGGACGAGGCGAAAGCGACGGUAACUGCAAAAGUAGCCCCGGCCAACUACGUG
RNAcentral lists this ribosomal RNA (467 nucleotides) under uncultured bacterium. Its description in RNAcentral is "partial 16S ribosomal RNA". It matches the Rfam family "Bacterial small subunit ribosomal RNA", at positions 28 to 507 of the family's 1533-position model. The record is from RNAcentral.